RNAcentral lists this ribosomal RNA (497 nucleotides) under uncultured bacterium. RNAcentral describes it as "partial 16S ribosomal RNA". It matches the Rfam family "Bacterial small subunit ribosomal RNA", at positions 28 to 507 of the family's 1533-position model. The record is from RNAcentral.
GAUGAACGCUGGCGGCGUGCCUAAUACAUGCAAGUCGAGCGAACAGACGAGGAGCUUGCUCCUCUGACGUUAGCGGCGGACGGGUGAGUAACACGUGGAUAACCUACCUAUAAGACUGGGAUAACUUCGGGAAACCGGAGCUAAUACCGGAUAAUAUAUUGAACCGCAUGGUUCAAUAGUGAAAGACGGUUUUGCUGUCACUUAUAGAUGGAUCCGCGCCGCAUUAGCUAGUUGGUAAGGUAACGGCUUACCAAGGCAGCGAUGCGUAGCCGACCUGAGAGGGUGAUCCGCCACACUGGAACUGAGACACGGUCCAGACUCCUACGGGAGGCAGCAGUAGGGAAUCUUCCGCAAUGGGCGAAAGCCUGACGGAGCAACGCCGCGUGAGUGAUGAAGGUCUUCGGAUCGUAAAACUCUGUUAUUAGGGAAGAACAAAUGUGUAAGUAACUAUGCACGUCUUGACGGUACCUAAUCAGAAAGCCACGGCUAACUACGUG